CCUACGGGCGGCAGCAGUGAGGAAUAUUGGUCAAUGGACGAGAGUCUGAACCAGCCAAGUAGCGUGAAGGAUGACUGCCCUAUGGGUUGUAAACUUCUUUUAUAAAGGAAUAAAACGAGGCACGUGUGCCUUUUUGCAUGUACUUUAUGAAUAAGGAUCGGCUAACUCCGUGCCAGCAGCCGCGGUAAUACGGAGGAUCCGAGCGUUAUCCGGAUUUAUUGGGUUUAAAGGGAGCGUAGAUGGGUUGUUAAGUCAGUUGUGAAAGUUUGCGGCUCAACCGUAAAAUUGCAAUUGAUACUGGCAGUCGUGAGUACAGUUGAGGUAGGCGGAAUUCGUGGUGUAGCGGUGAAAUGCUUAGAUAUCACGAAGAACUCCGAUUGCGAAGGCAGCUUACUAAACUGCCACUGACAUUGAUGCUCGAAAGUGUGGGUAUCAAACAGGAUUAGAUACCCUUGUAGUC
This 460-nucleotide ribosomal RNA is filed under the name uncultured bacterium. RNAcentral's name for it is "partial 16S ribosomal RNA". It matches the Rfam family "Bacterial small subunit ribosomal RNA", at positions 338 to 795 of the family's 1533-position model. The record is from RNAcentral.